RNAcentral lists this ribosomal RNA (253 nucleotides) under uncultured bacterium. Its description in RNAcentral is "partial 16S ribosomal RNA". It matches the Rfam family "Bacterial small subunit ribosomal RNA", at positions 524 to 776 of the family's 1533-position model. The record is from RNAcentral.
AACGUAGGAUCCGAGCGUUAUCCGAAUUCACUGGGCGUAAAGCGCGUGCAGGCGGACCGAUAAGUUGGAUGUGAAAUCUCCUGGCUCAACUGGGAGAGGUCGUUCAAGACUGUCGGACUAGAGGACGGUAGAGGGAGGUGGAAUUCCCGGUGUAGUGGUGAAAUGCGUAGAUAUCGGGAGGAACACCAGUGGCGAAAGCGGCCUUCUGGGCCGAUCCUGACGCUCAGACGCGAAAGCUAGGGGAGCAAACGGG